RNAcentral lists this transfer RNA (71 nucleotides) under Sphaerobolus stellatus SS14. RNAcentral's name for it is "tRNA-Gly (TCC) (tRNA-Gly-TCC-8-1)". It matches the Rfam family "tRNA". From Rfam's summary of the family: Transfer RNA (tRNA) molecules are approximately 80 nucleotides in length. Their secondary structure includes four short double-helical elements and three loops (D, anti-codon, and T loops). Lineage: Eukaryota; Fungi; Basidiomycota; Agaricomycetes; Geastrales; Sphaerobolaceae. The record is from RNAcentral.
ACACGUGUGGUGAAACGGUAUCAUGCUUGCCUUCCAAACAAGCGGCCGGGGUUCAACUCCCCGCACGUGUA